AUUCGAGGGGGGGAGAGGCAGAGGGGAAAAGCGCGCCGGCUCUCUCGCUCUCGCUUCGCCUUCACGCAGACAGCGCCGCGCUCAGGGGCGUGUGCCUCUGCGGGGCUGCCUCGCCUCGCCUCCAGUUGAGUCCCCGCGGCCGGAGUUGGGAAGAAGGAUGCUGCCGGAGCCGGAGGCGCUCCCCCCGGUCCUCCCGCCUCUGCCAUCUCCAGCUCCCUCAGACUUCUUGGCCAGACUAUGAAAUGACCAUUCCUGCUCACCUCGCAGCAGCAGCAGCAGCAGCUCCCGCCGCCCGGACCCCGCUCUUGCCGCUCGCGCUUGGGGCGAAAGGGCGCCCGUCCUGCCUGAGGAGGAGCCCCAGCUGGGUCUACCGGCCAAGUCAAGGCGGCUGAGGGAAGAGAGUCGGCGAGGCUGGCGGGCGAAGCCCGUUUCGGAGUGGCUGCUUCUCCUUCCACCUCAGACCCGCGCGCGCCCCUCUGUGCCCAAGUGUGCCGCCUGCCUGAAGGCGCUGCUGCCGCCGCCGCCGCCGCCGCCGCGCGCGCUUCCUCUCCUGAGGCGAAGCGAGGCAGCGCCUCUCUCUGAAGUCUCGGGCCACUUCGCCAACUGCUCCCGCUCCGCUUCGCCCUCAGGAAAAGUCGCGAGGGCGGCGGCGCUUCCAGGUGGGCCCGUGGCCGACGCAGCAGCCCAUCACCGCGGAGAAAGUAGGGGCGGGAGGGUGGGCUUGGGGCACCGGCGAGCUGGACUUCGGCUUUGGGGUUUGGCUGCUUCCCCCAGCAGCAGCAGCAGCAGCAGCCAUGGCGAAAGGGCUGGAAGCCGCCGCCGCCGCCCGCUACGGACUGGGACUGGGAUACUUACUGCAAAUGCUCGUGCUGCCCGCCUUGGCCAUCCUGAGCGCCAGCAGCCCCGGCUCCGCCGCGCAAGGUAAGACUGCCCUUGUUCGGCCAGGCGGCGCCUGCCUGCCUCCCUCGCUCCUUCCCUCUCUCGGCUCCUCAGAGUUCUUUCCCGGCCUGCCCAGGUUGGACUGAGUGGCGCUGCCUGCCUGUCCAUCUUCGCCGCAGAACCCCGCAAAGGCGAGAGCGAGCGCUUUCCUCGCUCACCCCUCCACAGGUUAAUGGAUACCAGCAGGGCCAGCUCGGGACGGGGGCGGGGAGGAGCACCUCUCUCGUUAAGCGCUAUCGCUACUUCUACAUUCCUCUGCCCAAGUGGCCCCGACACCUUUGGGGCGAUGUUCAGUGCCGACGAAUCCAAAAGGGGGCUCGUCUCUCGAGCCUUAGAACUGCCGCCUUCGAGGCGCCGCAUGGGGCUGGUGGCUCCUGAGAGAGAAGGAUGUGUGGAUGGAUGUCUUCAGGCAUCCCCGCGCGCGCGCGCACACCUUCGCCUCUUCCUUCUCCAUCCACGCAGCUUCUGCAAGGGAGAAACUUACGAAAGGAGGCUCUCCCCCUUUCCCCUCGCCAGGAGAUGGGGAGCGAGAGGGACUCUCCCCUAAUCCUGCUUGAUCUCUAGGACUGUGGGGGGGAAACCCGCGAUCUCCUCUGGUUGGAGCUGGAAAGUGUGUGUGUAGAUAUAUAGGUGAGUGAGGGACAAGCUCGAUCGCUUCGCUUCCUCGGGUGAGGCGUUUGAAACGCGAGUGGCGAAGGGAGUGUUGGAAGCGGCCCGGAGUGAAGCUGUGCAGCUACGCAGGCGCCUGUACUUCGCAGUUUAGCAGAGUAGGGUCAGGAUGCCAGGCGGGGCAUGUCCCCCGUGCCCUCGGCAUAUCUGGGGAAGGAGAAAGGAAAGGGUUGAUGCCGGCCUUGCCAGUAGCACCCGGGGCUUUCGCUUCAUGUGUCCCGGCUUCUCUCUGAGCGUGUGUUGCUAUGCAGCUAUGUGUCUUUGCCAUGACAAGAGAACCGCGGGAGUGUUCAUGGUGAGUUCCGGCACCUCUUUUUCUAGAAAAACAGCUCUGCAGAAAACCAUCUGAAAUCCCACACACACCCUCAGCUGAAUUGAUCACAGCCAGAGGUACUCCUCUAGGUCCAACACAUUUUCUUUGACUUCGCUAGGAGACGGCCUGCCUAGUUUUGUGCCACCUUAAUAACUGGCAGGUUUGUUGUGGCAGAAGCCUAUAAGGUGCCACAAGGCUGGCUCUCUGCCCAUCACCUUCUUUCUCCGUCUCUCUGUGUUUGAUCUGCUGAAACAGACUUAACAGGACUACCCCUCUCGAAUUUGACUUUCAGCAGGAGCACUUCAGAGAAAGUGAAUCGUUUUUAUGCCAGGGGCAGCUCUAUAAACAUGAGCCAAAGUGAGACAGCCACUUCAAGUGGCAGGUUUUGGCAGCCAUGAAGGGUGGGAGGGCAGGAGAGUUGAGUGAGAGACAGAUCUGCCCCAUGGGGUAGAAUCCAGUGGGGAAGCAUUCCUGGGCAAGCUGCCUGGGGCAAGCCCUAUCAAAAGGAACAGGAACUGGACGCAAUGCCUCCCUUCUCACAGAUGCUAUGCAUUUCAAUUGGGGACUUGUGAAGGAGAAUUUCCUGAUGGAUUGUGUACCAUAUUAAAACAGUAGUUCAAGGCACUAUUUAUGUUUUCCACCGUAGGCAUAAAAAAUGUCUGAGAGGCACCUCCAGAGCAAGUGACCUCUUGCUUUACACUUCCAGCCCUCAGGGUUUGGGGCAAUUUUUUUUGCCCCUACCCAAAUAUUAAUAUGUGGACAAUGCUAUCAGAAACAAACGAGCCCACCCCCCACUUGAGUCGGAACAUUAAGCUUUGCUGAAAUUCCUAGAGCAAAAUGAACUUAAGUAUUUGUAUAGAUACCAGGAGUUCACAGUACCCUGCUGGUGUUCCUUUGCUGAGAUCCCCAUGAAAAGGACCAUUUGCAAAGUUUGCAGUCUCUGGGCAGCAUCAAAACUGGUUGGUUGGCUCAGCUCCUUUGAACCCUAGCGCCUGAAUAAAAACAAGAGAGACAGACAUCACACUUCUGCUGGACCUUUCAGGGGGAGCCAGUUUCCAUGUGAAGGAUUAGUAACAACAGGCACCAGCAGAAGGGUGGCUUUUUAGGUUUAACAAACACGCUCUUCUGUUGACUCCCCAGACAGACAGGUGCCAACUAACUUCAUAUAUAUAUAUAUAUAAACUGAAUGCUGGUUUUCCUGAUAUAAGACUGAGGAAGCCAGAAGGAGAGACCCUCACCCCUGAAUAUUCACUGAACGAAUUAAUGAGAGAAGCUGAUAAGGCUCCAACUCAUGUUGAAAGGCUGGCACUGUCUUUAUCUCAUAACAUCAAACAAACAAAUAAAAGGGUUAAUUGGGGAACAAAAGCAGGCUCCAUAGAGAUAGCCAAAUGGGAAGAUAAUCUGAUUAGUACUGGAAAGGGAGGGGGCAAGGCACUAUGAAUGGGACAAUUAGUUGAAUUGCUUAGUGCUUCUUCUUAUAUUAGCCAUAACUGACAGGCUGAGGUGCCUGGGAGUUCAUCCUUCUUUCUCCUUUUUGCUUUGCUCAGCAGGAAAAGAGCUUUCCUGAAAUGUUCCUCCAUUGGUUUCUAAGCCCCCUUGCCUGCCACCUCUUUCACUGCACGCCUAAAACAUAAUCUUUGCCCAAAGAAUUUGCCUGUGUACAUAUAGAGAGUAGCACCAUCAUACAGAGAUAUAUAUCACUAGCUCGUUUUUUAAACUGAGAAUAAAUCCGCAGCCAUUUUAUUGCUAUUAUUAUAGCCUGAAGAUGACUGUAAAAUAUCUCCUUCAGAAUUAUCUCUGUGUCCCCGGGAAUGUUUUGCUACAUUCUGACUAACCUUGCACUAGAGCAUCAGGUCUCUACAUUGUAUUUGCCUUGGCUUCUACAUCACAAGGCAUUUCCUUUGCAAGAUGCUUUAAGCGAGUGCCUUCUUGAACUUCCCUUGCCACACACCAGUUGGCUCAAUAACAGAUGAUGGAAAGAAGUUCCAUACAUGUGUUGAGCUAUAUGCCAUAUAUACAAUAACAACAAGCAGUCUUAUUAAAGCUAGCUGAGAAACCUGUUUUCAUUGUUACCAUGGUAAAAGGAGUGGAGUGGGUAAAAGAGACACACGCCAGAAAUUCACAUUUUCAGCGACAGCUGAAAAAACAUUGUGUGCAUUAGAGGGCCCCACAGAAGACAACAAGGAUAGGUGUUUCCCAGGACACCUGGAAUAUUGUCCAAUUAGGUUUCUUUGCAUAGAGCACCCAAUAAAGUCAGAACCAGAAUCCUUUUCAGUGUGGGCAUAUUUCCUCUUUCAGGUUCAGGGAAUUCACAGGAAUCCCCUCAAAUCUUGGACAUGCAGUUUGUAAAGCAUUCCAAUAAACUUUUUUU
This 4292-nucleotide long non-coding RNA is filed under the name Podarcis lilfordi (Lilford's wall lizard). Lineage: Eukaryota; Metazoa; Chordata; Lepidosauria; Squamata; Lacertidae. The record is from RNAcentral.